Molecule: non-coding RNA, 73 nt
Organism: Peromyscus maniculatus bairdii (prairie deer mouse)
Lineage: Eukaryota; Metazoa; Chordata; Mammalia; Rodentia; Cricetidae
Source: the annotation of a RefSeq genome assembly
GCCCCGCUAGCUCAGUUGGUAGAGCAUGAGACUUUUAAUCUCAAGGUCGUGGGUUCGUGCCCCAUGUUGAGCG